RNAcentral lists this ribosomal RNA (492 nucleotides) under uncultured bacterium. Its description in RNAcentral is "partial 16S ribosomal RNA". It matches the Rfam family "Bacterial small subunit ribosomal RNA", at positions 29 to 507 of the family's 1533-position model. The record is from RNAcentral.
AGUGAACGCUGGCGGUAGGCCUAACACAUGCAAGUCGAACGGCAGCACAGUAAGAGCUUGCUCUUACGGGUGGCGAGUGGCGGACGGGUGAGGAAUACAUCGGAAUCUACUUUUUCGUGGGGGAUAACGUAGGGAAACUUACGCUAAUACCGCAUACGACCUACGGGUGAAAGCAGGGGAUCUUCGGACUCUGCGCGAUUGAAUGAGCCGAUGUCGGAUUAGCUAGUUGGCGGGGUAAAGGCCCACCAAGGCGACGAUCCGUAGCUGGUCUGAGAGGAUGAUCAGCCACACUGGAACUGAGACACGGUCCAGACUCCUACGGGAGGCAGCAGUGGGGAAUAUUGGACAAUGGGCGCAAGCCUGAUCCAGCCACACCGCGUGGGUGAAGAAGGCCUUCGGGUUGUAAAGCCCUUUUGUUGGGAAAGAAAAGCAGCAGGUUAAUACCCCGCUGUUCUGACGGUACCCAAAGAAUAAGCACCGGCUAACUUCGUG